CACCUAGUUGUAAACAAAUGGAAAUUGAAAGUAAAAGUGCAACGGCACGGUAUAUUUUUUCUGGCAUUUUUUGUUUUCCAAUAUCUCGAACUUUCACGACAAAAAGACCAUUUUCCCGAAAUUCAAUAUAUGUAUCAGUGAGAGGUGCUAAAGUUUGUAUGGAAGUCUAUGGGAAAACAUUUGGUGGUGUUUGUCCUAUAGAAAAGCAAUGCAUUAUCAAGAAGGAAGAGAUUAAUGAACCCUACCCUCUUACAAUGAACAAAACAUGGACACUCUCGGGAUGAUCCUUUUGCUUUCAUUAAGAGUUUCAAGAUGUGGGUCUGAUUGACUGGGGUGUGAAAUGUAACAGCCAAUGGUGUACUUAAGCUAAGACUGUCAGUCCCAAUAUUCAAGAGGAAAAACCCCUACAUAAACAAAUACAUGGGCGCAGACAUUUUGGACACCCAAGGUUGUGCGGAGGAGAAAAUGCUAGCUGGCGCGUGAUUGGUCAAUAAUGGGAAAAGACUUGUUAUGUAUUUGACAAGUGAAAUAAAGUUGAUAAAAAUCUCAUAUCAAGACUUGGGUUUCUUUGAGGUAUAUAGGAGUUACAGGUAAAAAUUUGAAGGGAGGGAUGCACUUUGGUUAGAGAUUUUCAUUUGGUGUCAAACGCACCUAGUUGUAAACAAAUGGAAAUUGAAAGUAAAAGUGCAACGGCACGGUAUAUUUUUUCUGGCAUUUUUUGUUUUCCAAUAUCUCGAACUUUCACGACAAAAAGACCAUUUUCCCGAAAUUCAAUAUAUGUAUCAGUGAGAGGUGCUAAAGUUUGUAUGGAAGUCUAUGGGAAAACAUUUGGUGGUGUUUGUC
This is a long non-coding RNA of Saccostrea cuccullata (small rock oyster), 843 nucleotides long. RefSeq lists it as uncharacterized. The transcript has 4 exons. Lineage: Eukaryota; Metazoa; Mollusca; Bivalvia; Ostreida; Ostreidae. The record is from RefSeq and is a predicted model, not a curated record.